UAACUGAUUUGGCAGAGAUGCCUUAGUGCCUUCGGGAACCGUGAGACAGGUGCUGCAUGGCUGUCGUCAGCUCGUGUUGUGAAAUGUUGGGUUAAGUCCCGCAACGAGCGCAACCCUUAUCCUUUGUUGCCAGCGAUUCGGUCGGGAACUCAAAGGAGACUGCCGGUGAUAAACCGGAGGAAGGUGGGGAUGACGUCAAGUCAUCAUGGCCCUUACGGCCAGGGCUACACACGUGCUACAAUGGCGCAUACAAAGAGAAGCGACCUCGCGAGAGCAAGCGGACCUCAUAAAGUGCGUCGUAGUCCGGAUUGGAGUCUGCAACUCGACUCCAUGAAGUCGGAAUCGCUAGUAAUCGUAGAUCAGAAUGCUACGGUGAAUACGUUCCCGGGUCUUGUACACACCGA
RNAcentral lists this ribosomal RNA (404 nucleotides) under Erwinia sp. COS183. RNAcentral describes it as "bacterial SSU rRNA". It matches the Rfam family "Bacterial small subunit ribosomal RNA", at positions 988 to 1393 of the family's 1533-position model. Lineage: Bacteria; Pseudomonadati; Pseudomonadota; Gammaproteobacteria; Enterobacterales; Erwiniaceae. The record is from RNAcentral.